This 253-nucleotide ribosomal RNA is filed under the name uncultured bacterium. RNAcentral's name for it is "partial 16S ribosomal RNA". It matches the Rfam family "Bacterial small subunit ribosomal RNA", at positions 524 to 776 of the family's 1533-position model. The record is from RNAcentral.
UACGGAGGGUGCAAGCGUUAUCCGGAUUUACUGGGUUUAAAGGGUGCGUAGGCGGAUAGGUAAGUCAGGGGUGAAAUCUUCGAGCUUAACUCGGAAACUGCCUUUGAUACUAUCUAUCUUGAAUAUUGUGGAGGUAAGCGGAAUAUGUCAUGUAGCGGUGAAAUGCUUAGAUAUGACAUAGAACACCUAUUGCGAAGGCAGCUUACUACGCAUAUAUUGACGCUGAGGCACGAAAGCGUGGGGAUCAAACAGG